Small nucleolar RNA from Manis javanica (Malayan pangolin), 73 nucleotides. RefSeq annotates it as small nucleolar RNA SNORD113/SNORD114 family. NCBI's taxonomy places the organism in Eukaryota, Metazoa, Chordata, Mammalia, Pholidota, Manidae. The record is from RefSeq and is a predicted model, not a curated record.
UGGACCAAUGAUGAGCACUGUGGGGCAUCUGAAUAAAAUACUUGAUUAAACCCAGUUGGGAACUGAGUUCCAC